RNAcentral lists this transfer RNA (92 nucleotides) under Natranaerobius trueperi. RNAcentral's name for it is "tRNA-Ser". It matches the Rfam family "tRNA". From Rfam's summary of the family: Transfer RNA (tRNA) molecules are approximately 80 nucleotides in length. Their secondary structure includes four short double-helical elements and three loops (D, anti-codon, and T loops). Lineage: Bacteria; Bacillati; Bacillota; Clostridia; Natranaerobiales; Natranaerobiaceae. The record is from RNAcentral.
GGAGGGGUGGCCGAGUCCGGCUGAAGGCGCUGGACUUGAAAUCCAGUGACACUCUCUGAGUGCCGGGGGUUCGAAUCCCUCCCCCUCCGCCA